This is an RNA transcript of Triticum aestivum (bread wheat), 4503 nucleotides long. RefSeq lists it as uncharacterized. The record is from RefSeq and is a predicted model, not a curated record. Lineage: Eukaryota; Viridiplantae; Streptophyta; Magnoliopsida; Poales; Poaceae. The transcript has 7 exons.
UGUUGCAUUUCCUGGUGCGGGGGCGCGAGGCAGCCGCGCCGCAUGCGCGCGACAAACCCUAGCGGCCUAGCCUCCCCAAGCCCCACAGGCCGCACUCCUCCUCCUCCCCCAUCCCACCCUCGUUAGCCGCCGCCACCAUUAUGCCUCCCUCCUCUCCGUCCUACAACCACGCCACCGGAGGAAGCCGUCGUUCGUGGCGCCAUAUCGCUGCCGGGGUGCCGCGUAAGAGGCUAGGGGACGCCGCCACCGCAAGCCGGCAGGAAGCCAACGGCGAGCACGCCGUCAAGAUGCCGCCAGGAGGACCUACCAUCCGGUCCAUGUCGUCAAGCGAGGGCCGCUUGUUGCGUCGUCGUGGGAGGAGGCGCACCAUCGAGGAGCAGCAGAGGAGGAGACGAGGACCAUCAAGGAGUAGCAGGGGAGGAGACGAGGACCAUCGAGGAGCAGCAGGGGACCGCCGAACUCCCUCUUCCCUUCCGGCUGCACCUUCUCCGUGAGCUCCUUCCAGUCCCUCGCUUCUCCACUCCUACUUUUCACUCUCCCUCCCAUGCUCGUCAUGUGUGCUUUCUUUUGAUUUGGUUGUGCCUGCAGGUCCAUGGACAUUGUCAGAAUGGUCAAUUUAGUCUGGCGUAUUAUUUUCAGAUAUCAUGUUUGUCCAAGCCUCCAAGAUUCAAUUAGAUAGCAUCGUCUUCUCCCCGAGCAGCAAAAUGGAAGUUAGGAAUGUCAACUCUGCUGUGUGUCAGGCUCAGCGAUGCCAGCCUCUGCCCCCUCCCCAAACGAUACGGUCUGCUUCAGUUCACGCAGUGUCUAGGUGAAGAAUUUGUGGCCAGCAACGAAAAGAUGUCUCUUGAAAAUCUAGUAAAGGAAAAAAGAUACGCCAACACUGUUCUACAAUCUGUUGCAUCUCUGUUCUCCUCGUUAAGGAGAGGGGAGGCGGCCAAUGACAGGGAGAAGGAGCAGGCCGUCGAGGAGUGCAAGCAAAAGAGUAAGAUGUGUAUUUUUUAUUGCCUCAAAUGAUUCAGAUUAAGAGUGACAAUAUGUAUGUGUUUGGUUGGGUGGAAAAGUCCCGCUUCCGAUUACAGCACUUUCGUAAGACAGUAGAAGUCGUUUGGUUCAGCCCUUCUGUUUUCUGUUACGAUGCUAUUCAAUACAGCGCUUCACUUCUGUGGAAACAUCCGAUCAUGGCUGGAUACAAAAUCCUCUCUGCCACGUAUUCGCUCGUGUCCGAACCAAACAAAACACGUAUUCUGGAAGAUAUAUCGGAAGCAGCGCUUCCCGAUAAAUAGCACGGAGAACAUAUUAGUGCUAUAUGUGUGUCUAAGGUCUCCAAGAGAUGCAGUCAUAGACAGUGACUGGUCCCUGAAGUUUGGGACGUUAAGGAUAAAAGCAAGCAGUUUUCAGAAACUUUUAGUUGUGGCUCAUGGGUAAAUUUUGAAACACAAAUUUCUUAACUUGUCAAAUGUAGCAGAAAUAAUUAAGAUUUAAUCACUGCUACUUCCUGAAAUGCAGGUUGGAGCAACUGGGAAAUCAUUGACAAAUGUGGUCUCAGUUGGAGUUGGUGGUAGCUUCCUUGGACCUCUGUUUUUGCAUGCAGCUCUCCAGAUUGACCCGAAACAGCAGAGUCCGCCAAAGGCUGGCAACUAAGAUUGUAAGCGUGUACUUGGGGUAUGUUUCUGUAUUUCUUUUGUUGACACCUGUUACAUGUUCUUCUCGCACUUCCUAUGGAUGAUCAAAAAUAUUAAAUGUGAUCGAGCAGAGGCUUCCUUUUUAUCUUUCUGCACCAUUCAUGCAACCCUAACCAGGAAUUCUUUCAUUAUUGGAGUCUUUCAUUGUAUAUAUAACUAUAUAUUGAUGCAAGGUGGGAGAAGAAGGAGGUGGCUGGCCUUUAUUGUGUUUUGGUGUGGUUCUCUCCUAUUUAAUGGUAGAUAUGAUGUAUAGGUUCAAGCAUGUGAUGUUUCUUUCAGUGCAUAUUUGUGCUUUACGAUGUUUGAUGCACAUAUAGUUGAACCUCUUACUCCAUGUAAUACUUUGCCAAAGAAGAAUUUAUUAAUGUUGGUGUUUUUUCUCUUUUCAGAUUUUAGCCUGGGUGCAUAAACAUACAUGCCCCACAUUAUAUUCAAAUUUCAGUGCAAGCUUAAACUGGGGAUAAAUCAUUAUGGAAGGGAAAUGAAUGAAUAACAAACUAUAUAGAUUUAUUAUCAUAUCAUUUAUUUUUGAUUGCAUGAUCUUAAUUGCUCAUCUCUGAAAAUAUUCUAGGCUCUUGCUCUUGGAAGAUUAGACUGAUGUGGUUUUGCUUUAUGAAUAAAUGGCGUGCUAACUUACUGGUUUGAUUUAGGUGUGUAGGCAGAGGAAACAAAAGAAUCAUAAUCCCAGGUUUAGGCAUGCACAUGGUCACUGAUCACAAAGUAGGUAGGAACAUGUGCAGUAUUGUGAUUUUCAGCAAGAGAAAGAGAAACAUAGUUAAUUGUACGUAUUUUAAGCUACACUAUGUGAUGUUGCUCUAUUAUAAAGGCCUUGCUUAAAUGCUUGGUUUGCAACAUGUAUUGCAUUUCCAGGGAUUAUCCUUUUGCUUAUUUAGUAUUUCCUAUGUUAUAUUUCGUCCUCAGUUGGGUCAUUGUAUGUGAUUAUUUACUCAUUUUGAGCCAUUUUGCAACCAAGCUUGACUUCUUUUAUUUUGCGAUCUGAGUUAUGCACACCAAAAUUAGCCCACGUAAGUUUGAACCAUAUUGAACAUGUUAGAUCACUCUCCUGUAUGUGAUGAUUUACUCUAUGGAGCCAUGUUGUGACCUAGCUUGAGUUCUUUUAUUUGCGAUCUGAGCUGCAAAAUAAAAAUAAAAAUAAAAAUAGUCCACGUAAUUCGAACCAUAUCUGAACAUUUUAGUAUCUGAAUACUGAAAUUACCAAACAUGAUCUUCACUUCGCCAUUUGUGACCCCACAGUGCUUUAACUAAGCUAGCUAUAGUAAUAUUAUGUUUUACAUGGCUAUGCAAGUUAAAGGUUCUAAUAUAGUGUACGUUUAUCAAUAUUUUGUGUUAUAUUGAGUAAUAUACUUCACAUAUAAGUUUUAAGCUAAUAGCUCCUAAUAAUUGUUUCUCCUCUUUGCAGUUGCCAUUUUAGUCAUAUUUUUUCUGAGAUAAAGAAUAAUAUUGAGAUGCAUUUCCUUUCUGAUGAUGAGAUUGGGUAUGCCUAUGUUUUGUAUUUUUCAGUAUUAUUUUAUUUCCGGCUCCGCUUAGCUGAGAGAGCUAAGAGAUAAUAUGGUAAACAAUUUCUAUCAAGUGGGUGAGCUCCAUUUUUCAAGGUAAGUCAGGUGACAGCCAAAAAAAUACCAAGGAGAUGAGUCUCUUAUCAGUUGUUUUGAUCUUAUCCAGGUUCUAUUUUCUUUCAGGCCAUGAGUUACGAUGUCCUGGUUAGAGCUACUACAUUCAAAGAGUAAAUCUGUUUCAUUGUAUCUGUACAUUAUAUGAAAAAGGUGCAUCUAUUAUGCCUCGUAGAAAUUUCAGCUGAGCAAUUGUGUAGACUUACGAAGCUAUCAUGACGGAUGUUAGUGAUUUCUGUAUUAGGGCCAUGUUACAUCUCUAGUGUUGAAUUAAUGGCUAGAAAUUCAGAGUUACAUAGCUGAAAACAGGGUUGCUCGAAGCAAACAAGCUGCUUAUUCAGUAUUUUUGACACUCAUGGAAAAUGUAUAUGCUCAUCCUAAAUUCCUAAUUAUUAUUAUAUCACAUAACUGAAAGUGCAUUAGACCAAUGGUGUUAUCAAAAAUAAAUAAUUUUUGCCCCAUAGCUGAACCGUGUCUUUUCUCUGUGUGUAUAUAUGUUAGAGAUGUGUAAGAUUUAGACAUUUUUAUUCAUUUGUUAACUUUACCAAUGUAUGGAUGACAUGCUUCAUUAUGUUAUAUCACAUGUGAAGGUGCAUUAUACCUGUGGUUUAUUAGAAUGCAUAAUUUCGGUCAAAUAAUUGAGUUGUUCUUUUCUUCGGUGUAUAUACAAGUUACAGAUGUGCAUGAUUAUGUUUAUUCUCUACAUUUGGUAAAUUCACCUAUGUAUGGCUGACAUACUUCUUUAGGUUAUGUUUCUAAAGCUCCAUGCUUAAUCGUCCAGAAUGUUUCCAAGUGACUGCUUUACACAUGGGAGACUGGAUGAAUGGAGGAGUUCAGAGAAGCUGGUGUUAUGUUACAUAUGGUCUUCAAGCUAAUGUUAUGUUUCUUGCAUGGUUUGUGUAUUUGUUGCAAAAACAUAGUACAAGAAAAAGAUCUAUGCUCAUGAAGAUGGCAGAAGGGAACUACAUGUGGAACAAGAACCACUAGCACUGACCAGUUGGGCAUCUGGAUAGUGGUAGUGAACAAAAAUUGCUUGCCCUAUAGAGUCAAUGUAAUCUACUACUAUCCCACUUGCUGAUUUUUAUAUUAUGAAACCAUAGUAUGUAUUUACACUCCUGCUGUGAGAUUGUACUAUGUAAAUUAUGGGAGGACAAUGUAGGCCUUUAUAUGCAAAUAACUCCUUGUUGAAA